RNAcentral lists this unclassified non-coding RNA (164 nucleotides) under soil metagenome. Its description in RNAcentral is "partial internal transcribed spacer 1". The record is from RNAcentral.
CUGAGUUGCAGAACUCCCAACCAUUGUGAACCUACCUAUCGUUGCUUCGGCGGGGGGGGGCCCUCAGCGGCCUCGCGCCCACCCCCUCGGGGGAGGCAGCCCGCCGGAGGCGUCCAAAACUAUAGCAUACAUUGGCCUCUCUGAGUAGCUUAUAAAAUAAGUCA